ACGGGGCCGCACAAGCAGCGGAGCAUGUGGUUAAUUCGAAGCAACGCGAAGAACCUUACCUAGACUUGACAUCUCCUGCAUUACCCUUAAUCGGGGAAGCCCUUCGGGGCAGGAAGACAGGUGUGCAUGGUUGUCGUCAGCUCGUGUCGUGAGAUGUUGGGUUAAGUCCCGCAACGAGCGCAACCCUUAUUUUAGUUGCUACCGUUCAGUUGAGCACUCUAAAGAGACUGCCCGGGUUAACCGGGAGGAAGGUGGGGAUGACGUCAAGUCCUCAUGGCCCUUACAUCCCGGGCUACACACGUGCUACAAUGGCAGGUACAGAGGGCUGCGAAGCCGCGAGGUGGAGCGAAUCCCAGAAAACCUGUCUCAGUCCGGAUUGAAGUCUGCAACUCGACUUCAUGAAGGCGGAAUCGCUAGUAACCGCGAAUCAGCAGGUCGCGGUGAAUACGUUCCCGGGCCUU
This 461-nucleotide ribosomal RNA is filed under the name uncultured Lachnospiraceae bacterium. RNAcentral's name for it is "bacterial SSU rRNA". It matches the Rfam family "Bacterial small subunit ribosomal RNA", at positions 917 to 1381 of the family's 1533-position model. Lineage: Bacteria; Bacillati; Bacillota; Clostridia; Lachnospirales; Lachnospiraceae. The record is from RNAcentral.